AUGUUGGGCUUAAUUUUAAUUUAAUUGAAUUGGGCCAAAUUUUUGGGCUCUAUUUAUUUUAAUAAUUGGGCCGAAAAUUUUACCUCUUAUUUAUUUUCUUUGGGCCUUGUUGUAUUUAUUUUCAUGUGGGCCUUUAUUGUUUCUCUUUGGGCCGAGUUUACUAAUGAAAGCCCAACUGCAUUUUAUUUUAAUUGGGCUUUAUUUUAAUUUAUUGGGCCUUUGUUAU
RNAcentral lists this long non-coding RNA (226 nucleotides) under Salvia miltiorrhiza (redroot sage). RNAcentral's name for it is "long non-coding RNA (SMIL_LNC003994)". The record is from RNAcentral. Lineage: Eukaryota; Viridiplantae; Streptophyta; Magnoliopsida; Lamiales; Lamiaceae.